Podarcis muralis (Common wall lizard) is the source of this 833-nucleotide long non-coding RNA. RefSeq lists it as uncharacterized. NCBI's taxonomy places the organism in Eukaryota, Metazoa, Chordata, Lepidosauria, Squamata, Lacertidae. The record is from RefSeq and is a predicted model, not a curated record.
AGGGGGGUGGGAUCCGCCACACGCGGCGCAGCAGUUUCCAUGCGCGGCGGAGGAGGAGGAGGAGCCCGCCUCCAUUCGCUACGUGCAGAGUCGCGAGUCCGCACCAGCAGCCGGCGGAGGCGAGGAGAGAGGGAGUCUGUCCGUCUCCCAGAGCACUUCAAUAUGGAAAACUUUAUGGAAGUACAGCAUUUAUGGAAGCCUCCUUAGGAAACCAAAGGGAUGUGUAUGUUGGACCUUAGUCUUCUACCAUAACUUUCCUCAUUCACCUACAUGAAUAUUUUCUUUAUUAACAGAAUGGAGAGCCAAGGAAGAUGGAUACUUAAGAGCUUGUUCCAAGUCACACAAAAGGUCUGGAGCAAAAGUUAGUCUUGAAUUCAAUGGACUCCAGUGUAAGCCAAGUUGAUGCUCUGAUUUCAUUUUCUCUUUUCAAGCUGUUCCCUUGUACACCAAGACACUGGAAUAUAACUGAAUCCCAUCCACCCACAUGUGAAGGUAUAAAGACACAGGUCUGAACUUUAUCUCCGGAGUGUCCCCUCCGGAAUUAUUGCUUCUUGCAUAGAAGUAGUUCCCCCUUCCUCCAGUAAAUUCCUUGUAGAAGUAUUAGAAAUUUUACAUUCCUUUGGGGCAAUGAGUUCCCCCAAUAUGACCAGGACCAAAACCCCAUCUGUGAAGACAAAAGCAAGAAGAAAUACAACUCUUUGUAUUGUGGUGAAUGAUUAAACACUGCUGUAAAAGCCUGAAAACUGACACUAAACUCUGUAUAGCUAUCUACCCUAGAACCACUGACUUGAUAUCUGAAGAAGAAGGCAAAUAAAGGAAGGAAAUGCCACAAA